CAAGACAUAAGGUAGGUAAAGUUUGAUAAAAUCUAAAACUCUUCUCUUUUAUAAAAUUAUUAACUCUCACUCUACAUACUUUCAAAUCUAAAUUCAAUAUUUGUGUUAUAAACAAACUAAGAGGGAAAACAAUAUGAGAGAGAGAGAGAGAGAGAGGUGAAACUGAGUGACACUGAGAGUAGGUUGUGCACAAUACCGCCAAAACCACACAAAAUCACUCCAAACCAUACAUUUUUCCAACUCUGUGGGCAAGUUGGAUGGGUGGGAGCCCCAACAGUGGCGGGUCAAUGCGGGUGGCAGUUGGAAAAUGCCAACCCGCUUAUGUAAUCGACCCAACCCACACUUACAUAAUUUGCACAAAUUCUGGUAUAUAUACAUGAUCCAGCAAGUUACAUCUCAACCAUUAGAUUAAAUCUAUCAUACCAAAUGUAGAUAUACUCACAUACACCUGUAAUAAUUUCUCAAUUAAACCUAAUUGGCACCCAAACAUCUCAUCUCAUUCAUCAUCGCCGCUGGUUUGAGGGCUCUAGUCUUGUUCCUCUUCCUUGCCUUGCGAUCGACACUGCCAUAGCCGUGCUGUCACCAUCGCUUCACUCGUCGUCGCUACUCUCCACGCAUUGCUGCUGCUCUCUGCUUGCCGCUGCUACUUUCUCCUCGCCGAUUGAUCGUGGAUGAGGGAAAUACAAAUGAUGGCUGCUUUGCGGUGGAAACCCUCCUACACCUACUGCAGAAUCAACUACUGUUGCUAGUUCUACCACUACCACAAUGCCUGCAAAAAUUCUGGCAUGUGACCAGGCCCUGAGUUGAAGGCCUAGAGUUGAGUUUUGUGAGCCAGCCUUUGUGCCUCCCGAGGAGGUUCUCGUUGGAAGAAGUCAAGUUUUGUGGCUUAUGUUAAAGAUGUUUUGGUUUUUAUUUAUUUUUGGAUAUAUGUACACAGGGCUAAGCCCAUUUUGUUAAUAUCUGUGUGAUAAUACUUGACUUAUGAAACCUUGACGUCAUAUAU
This is a non-coding RNA of Camellia sinensis, 1003 nucleotides long. Lineage: Eukaryota; Viridiplantae; Streptophyta; Magnoliopsida; Ericales; Theaceae. The record is from RefSeq and is a predicted model, not a curated record.